CCUACGGGUGGCAGCAGUGGGGAAUAUUGCACAAUGGGCGCAAGCCUGAUGCAGCCAUGCCGCGUGUGUGAAGAAGGCCUUCGGGUUGUAAAGCACUUUCAGCGGGGAGGAAGGCGGUGAGGUUAAUAACCUCAUCGAUUGACGUUACCCGCAGAAGAAGCACCGGCUAACUCCGUGCCAGCAGCCGCGGUAAUACGGAGGGUGCAAGCGUUAAUCGGAAUUACUGGGCGUAAAGCGCACGCAGGCGGUCUGUCAAGUCGGAUGUGAAAUCCCCGGGCUCAACCUGGGAACUGCAUUCGAAACUGGCAGGCUAGAGUCUUGUAGAGGGGGGUAGAAUGCCAGGUGUAGCGGUGAAAUGCGUAGAGAUCUGGAGGAAGACCGGUGGCGAAGGCGGCCCCCUGGACAAAGACUGACGCUCAGGUGCGAAAGCGUGGGGAGCAAACAGGAUUAGAUACCCGAGUAGUC
Molecule: ribosomal RNA, 465 nt
Filed under: uncultured Klebsiella sp.
Lineage: Bacteria; Pseudomonadati; Pseudomonadota; Gammaproteobacteria; Enterobacterales; Enterobacteriaceae
Description: bacterial SSU rRNA
Rfam family: Bacterial small subunit ribosomal RNA
Source: RNAcentral